Salmo salar (Atlantic salmon) is the source of this 3738-nucleotide non-coding RNA. The record is from RefSeq and is a predicted model, not a curated record. NCBI's taxonomy places the organism in Eukaryota, Metazoa, Chordata, Actinopteri, Salmoniformes, Salmonidae.
ACUGCACACUGUAACCAAUCACCGUUCACGAUCUAUGCGGAAAUUGUAUGCACCAUACGCAUGCGCACAAACACCAACGAGAGCAGGUUCAUAUUCGUAUUAUUAUUAGCUAGCUAGUAAUCCGUUAAAAUAUACACAUUUUAUACAAUUUCUACGUGGGUAUGGCAGAGGAGGUAACGAAAACCACAGGCGGACUCUCAGUGGGUGGGCUGUAUGUGUCUGACAAAGAAGGAAAUGACCAGGAUGGUGAUGGAACAGAGCAGAAGCCUUUCAAGACCUCAUUGAGGGCUUUGACAUUUGCUGGAAAGGAGCCAUUCCCCACCAUCUAUGUGGACUCUCAGAAGGACGGAGAGCGUUGGGCAGUGAUCUCCAAGACGCAGAUGAAAAAUGUGAUGAAGGUAUUUGCUAGAGAGCAGAUGAAGAGCGACUCCAAAGACAAAAAGGAGGCAGAGGAUUCUGAGAGACGAGAGAAGAACCUGGAAGAUGCUAAGAAAAUCACCAUCGAGAAUGACUCAAGCCUUCCAGAGCCCAAAACGGUGAAAAUCUAUCAGCUGGAGCCUCUCCGGGGGGAGAGAGUGAAGGUGUUUGGCUGGGUGCACCGAAUGAGAAAACAAGGAAAGAACCUGCUGUUCAUCGUGCUGAGAGAUGGAACUGGUUUCCUGCAGUGUGUUCUCAACGAUAAAUUGUGUCAGUGUUAUAAUGCCCUGGUGCUGUCCACUGAAAGCACAGUGGCUCUGUAUGGGACAGUGAAGCAAGUACCUGAGGGAAAGCAGGCCCCUGGUGGUCAUGAGCUGCACUGUGACUUCUGGGAGCUGGUGGGUCUGGCGCCAGCUGGAGGAGCUGACAACCUGCUGAACAUGGAGUCUGAUGUUGACGUUCAGCUCAACAACAGACACAUGAUGAUCCGUGGGGAGAACGUGUCCAAGAUACUCCGGAUCCGCUCCACUGUCACACAGUGUUUCAGGGAUCACUUCUUCAACCGUGGAUACUAUGAGAUCACCCCACCCACUCUGGUGCAGACCCAGGUGGAGGGAGGUUCCACCCUGUUCAACCUGAACUACUUUGGGGAGGAGGCGUUCCUGACCCAGUCCUCUCAGCUCUACCUGGAGACCUGCAUCCCUGCUCUGGGAGACACCUUCUGUAUCGCUCAGUCCUACCGCGCAGAGCAGUCCCGCACCCGCAGGCACCUGUCUGAGUACACUCACAUAGAGGCAGAGUGCCCCUUCAUGACCUAUGAGGACCUACUGAGCAGGCUGGAGGAUCUGGUGUGUGAUGUGGUGGACAGAGUCCUGAAGUCUCCUGCUGCUUCUCUACUCUACCAAGUCAACCCUGACUUCAAGCCCCCCAAGAGGCCCUUCAAGAGGAUUAACUACUCAGAUGCCAUCAUCUGGCUGAAGGAGCAUGACAUCAAAAAGGAUGAUGGGACAUACUAUGAGUUCGGAGAGGACAUCCCAGAGGCCCCAGAGAGGCUGAUGACUGAUGCCAUCGGUGAGACCAUCCUGCUGUGCCGCUUCCCUGCUGAGAUCAAGUCCUUCUACAUGCAGCGCUGUCCUGAGGACCGACGCCUCACUGAGUCGGUGGAUGUGCUGAUGCCUAAUGUUGGAGAGAUAGUAGGAGGGUCUAUGAGGAUCUGGGAUGCUGAGGAACUGCUGGAGGGAUACAAGAGGGAAGGCAUUGACCCAGCCCCUUACUACUGGUACACUGACCAGAGGAAGUAUGGGACCUGUCCCCAUGGUGGCUACGGGCUGGGCCUGGAGAGGUUCCUAACCUGGCUGCUGAACAGACACCACAUCAGAGACGUGUGUCUCUAUCCCCGCUUCAUCCAGCGCUGCCGACCCUGAACUACCAACUACCCUGCCCCCUGCUGGAGAUGGAUCACACUGCCUUUCAAGAGACCAAGAAUCAAAUCAAAUGAAAUUGUAUUUUGUCAGAUGCGCUGAACAGGUGUAGACCUUAGCUUGAAAUGCUUACUUACAAGCCUUUAACCAACAAUGCAGUUCAAUAAAUAGAUUUAAGAAAAUAUUUACUAAAUAAACUUUAAAAAAUCUAAUCAAUCACAAGGUAACACAAGAAAUGUACAUAACAAUAACGAGGCUACAUACAGGGGGUACCGGUACUGAGUCAAUGUGUGGGGAUACAGGUUAAUCGAGGUAAUUUGAAUGCAUUCCAAAUGGCAACCUAUUCCAUAUAUAGUGCUAUUUUUUUUACAAGAGCAUCCCAAAAGCAACCUUUUCCCUAUAUAAAAAAUUGUUAGAAAAAAUAUAAAGGUAAACCACCUUCGGGAUCAGUGUCCCUCCACCGGGACAGUUGAGCUAACAUGCGCUAAUGUGAUUAGCAUGAGGUUGUAAGCAACAAGAACAUUUCCUGGGACAUAGACAUGUCUUAUAUGGGCAGAAAGCUUAAAUUCUUGUUCAUCUAACUGCACUGUCCAAUUUACAGUAGCUAUUACAGUGGGAAAAAAAGACCAUGCUAUUGUUUGAGGAUAGUGCACAACAACAAAACAUUUGUCGCAGCAACUGGUUUGAUACAUUCACCUCUGAAGGUAAAUAAUGUACUUACAUUCAGUAAUCUUGCUCUGAUUUGUCAUCCUGAGGGUCCCAUAAAUAAAAUGUAGCAAGCAUAUUUUUGUUUGAUAAAAAUCAAUUUUUAUAUUCAAAUGUAGGAACUGGUUUCUACAGUUUCAAACCCUGCUGUCUCUAGCUCCUGGCCAUCUAGAUGUGUAUAAGUCAAUUAUCCAUCAUGUAUGACAUUCCUGGGAGUGUGUGAACUUUAAUUUUAUAUAACCACCGUACUUGAAAAUGUAUCAAUUGACCAAUUUGGGCAGAUACAAAAUAUUGUCCAGUAUUGAAAUGUUUCACUGGAUCAAUCUGAAACUUUGCUGCCUUCUAGUGGCUGAAAUCUAAACUGCAAUAAUACAUUAUGGCCUUGCUCUUGCAUUUCACCAGAUCUAAUGUGUUAUAUUCUCCUGCAUUAAUUUCACAUUUCCACAAACUUCAGUGUUUCCUUUCAAAUGGUAUCAAGAAUAUGCAUAUCCUUGCUUCAGAUAUGUCAGACCCAUUUAUUAACUAGGCAAGUCAGUAAAGAACAUUCUUAUUUACAAUGACGGCCUACACUGGCCAACUGUGUGUCACCCUUAUGGGACUCCCAAUCACGGCCGGUUGUUAAACAGCCCUAUAUAGUGCUAUUUAUUUUUUAUCAGAGCUUCCCACAUGGCAUCCUAUUCCCUGUAUAGUGCUAUUUUUGACCAGAGCACUAUCCCUAUAUAGCACCCUUAUUUUGACAGGGACCAACAGUAGUGCACUAUAUAGAGAAUAGAGUGCCAUUUGGAAAGAAGCCCCAUCAUACUUUUUUUCUGUACUGGCCCCCCCGUGGGAAUUGCACCCACAACCCUGGCGUUGCACACACCAUGCUCUACCAACUGAGCCACAGGGAAGACAACAGUACUGCAAGAGGCCAACAUACAAGGCUGGAGAACUAAGACAAGAUCACUUAAUUACACUAACAAAUCCCUGCAAAUGUAAGAUUUGAAAUGUGUUUUCAAACAUGAAAUUCAUGCUGUCCAUCAAAUACUAUUUGUCUGCCAAUAAUUGUAUACUGCAUACGCUACAAUGUCUGUCUGGAAUGUUCUGUGGAGACACGCAUCCUGUUAACAUCUCUUGUAUAUUGUGACAAAUUACUGAUCCACUACUGUUGCAAUAAUCCUGUUAAACAAAGUGAAAUACAAGGGUUAGAAUUUGA